GUCCCAGUUCGGAUCGCAGGCUGAAACCCGCCUGCGUGAAGUUGGAAUCGCUAGUAAUCGCGGAUCAGCAUGCCGCGGUGAAUACGUUCCCGGGCCUUGUACACACCGCCCGUCACACCAUGAGAGUCGGGAACACCCGAAGUCCGUAGUCUAACCGCAAGGGGGGCGCGGCCGAAGGUGGGUUCGAUAAUUGGGGUGAAGUCGUAACAAGGUAGC
This 216-nucleotide ribosomal RNA is filed under the name uncultured bacterium. RNAcentral's name for it is "partial 16S ribosomal RNA". It matches the Rfam family "Bacterial small subunit ribosomal RNA", at positions 1285 to 1500 of the family's 1533-position model. The record is from RNAcentral.